RNAcentral lists this long non-coding RNA (246 nucleotides) under Carica papaya (papaya). RNAcentral describes it as "long non-coding RNA (CPAP_LNC010396)". Lineage: Eukaryota; Viridiplantae; Streptophyta; Magnoliopsida; Brassicales; Caricaceae. The record is from RNAcentral.
AACAAACUCGCAAUUCUUAUUUGCUUGAGCUUCAUAAUUCUUAUUAUGCUUGACGAUCUUCUUUAUAAGCAGUUAAAACUUGAGCGAAAUAUAUACUCUUCCCAUUUCCAAUAGUAGCAUUUAUACAAGAAGAACUUUUUUGAAGAUCCUAAAAUGUAGAAUAAGUAAAGUCUAUCUCUUAAGUUUACAUAUAUCAGGAAGUUCGAUUUUAAAUAAAUAUUGAUAAUGAUAAAAUUUAAAUAUGUG